GACGAACGCUGGCGGCGUGCUUAACACAUGCAAGUCGAACGGAAAGGCCCUGCUUUUGUGGGGUGCUCGAGUGGCGAACGGGUGAGUAACACGUGAGUAACCUGCCCUUGACUUUGGGAUAACUUCAGGAAACUGGGGCUAAUACCGGAUAGGAGCUCCUGCUGCAUGGUGGGGGUUGGAAAGUUUCGGCGGUUGGGGAUGGACUCGCGGCUUAUCAGCUUGUUGGUGGGGUAGUGGCUUACCAAGGCUUUGACGGGUAGCCGGCCUGAGAGGGUGACCGGCGUCAUUGGGACUGCGAUACGGCCCAGACUCCUACGGGAGGCAGCAGUGGGGAAUAUUGCACAAUGGGCGGAAGCCUGAUGCAGCAACGCCGCGUGCGGGAUGACGGCCUUCGGGUUGUAAACCGCUUUCGCCUGUGACGAAGCGUGAGUGACGGUAAUGGGUAAAGAAGCACCGGCUAACUACGUG
RNAcentral lists this ribosomal RNA (468 nucleotides) under uncultured bacterium. Its description in RNAcentral is "partial 16S ribosomal RNA". It matches the Rfam family "Bacterial small subunit ribosomal RNA", at positions 28 to 507 of the family's 1533-position model. The record is from RNAcentral.